AAGUGAUUUAUUCCCUUUAUUAUGUGCAGUCGAAGUGCUCGCGUUGCUUAGUGAUUUAUUCCCUUUAUUAUUUCCCAAGUGAUUUAUUCCCUUUAUUAUGUGCAGUCGAAGUGCUCGCGUUGCUGAAUCCCUAAAACAGUGCUCCUGCAGUCCGGCUGAUGUCGGUCAAAUUGAAUUCAACAUUCAACAUUCGCAGGCGCACUAGGUAAAGUUUCACAGAGUACAUCACAGUUUGUCAUUAAUACUCUUUUGGGUACCUCUAAAAUUCCCGUUUGCAUACUACACGCCACGGUACUCGUAAACGGUUUACCACGUCCGAGACGGUGUGGCCAGCGCCAGCUGCUAUUCGGCCGGUCUAUUAACUGCGCAAAUCGCCCAAUGACAGAAAGCAACGAAAAUAAAAAGUAGCUACUAAAUCUCCUACAGUCCUACUUGUGCUUUGCAUUAAAAGUUUACUGCAUAACAUAUACUCCAAGAGUAAUGGGGUUAGGGUAACCUGUGCAACCUGUUGGCCUCAACUACAUGAAAGUAGCACAAUGCAUAGUAAGAAAUACAAAUUAUGCAAGUACGGAAAACAUUGGCAGGCUCGCAGGCAAUGAUGCUGACUUUUGGUAUUGGAAAGAUUCCGAUUCAUUUCUACAAAUGAAUGAUUUCUUGUGUCACAUUUGUUAUUUCCCAUCUGUAUUUCUCUUUGUGUAGAAGAAUUGCAAAGUUACAUUAAAGAAAGUGGAGGGGAAAUUGUUACAGGGAGAGUUUUGCAGCAUGUUAUGACAACAUUGUCUCCAACAGACUUUAAUAUAACAGUAAACGAUCCCGAUCAUGAUUUUUUUCGUGGCAACACUGUCUCUUUGUGUGAUACUGCAGUCGAAGUCCUCGCGUUCCUGAGGCUCUGAAAGUGAAAGCGUCGCUCCUGCAGUACUGCUGAUGUCGGUCAAGUUGAAUUCAACAUGGUGAAACCUAAUGAAAAGGGAAAGAACGCAUUGCAUUUACGAGAGAUAGAAACAGUUGUUACGAAAAGCCGGUUGUUGGAAGGAACGAGAAGCAAUUCUUUCCAACCUGUUCCAGAUGUUUUGUCUUUGAAGUCGUCAUCCCUAACUGAACGCGAAGAAGAACUUUCAAGGGGUUUUCUUAAGUAUAAAAAAGGUAAAUCAUUCUUAAAUGAUGCCCACCUGCAAGUCUAAUGAGAAAUGUUGUGUGUUGUUAUUCUUCUCAUGUUAUUCUUCUCACUGAAUAACCAAGUCCUGAAUAAAACACGAGACUGCUA
Long non-coding RNA from Daphnia magna, 1264 nucleotides. RefSeq lists it as uncharacterized. Lineage: Eukaryota; Metazoa; Arthropoda; Branchiopoda; Diplostraca; Daphniidae. The record is from RefSeq and is a predicted model, not a curated record. The transcript is spliced from 3 exons.